UGUGUAGGCGGCUCCCUAAGUUUGGUGUGAAAUCUCCCGGCUCAACCGGGAGGGUGCGCCGAAAACUGGGGGGCUAGAGUGCGGGAUGGGAGAGUGGAAUUCCUGGUGUAGCGGUGAAAUGCGUAGAUAUCAGGAGGAACACCGGUGGUGCAGACGGCUCUCUGGACCGUAACUGACGCUGAGACACGAAAGCGUGGGUAGCAAACAGGAUUAGAUACCCUGGUAGUCCACGCCCUAAACGAUGCAUAUUUGGUGUAGGUCAUUCAGUUGAUCUGUGCCGGAGCUAACGCGUUAAAUAUGCCGCCUGGGGAGUACAGUCGCAAGGCUGA
RNAcentral lists this ribosomal RNA (329 nucleotides) under uncultured bacterium. RNAcentral describes it as "bacterial SSU rRNA". It matches the Rfam family "Bacterial small subunit ribosomal RNA", at positions 568 to 897 of the family's 1533-position model. The record is from RNAcentral.